AGCUCCAAUAGCGUAUAUUUAAGUUGUUGCAGUUAAAAAGCUCGUAGUUGGAUUUCGGGCGGGAUUGGGCGGUCCGCCUCUGGUGUGCACUGCCGAGUCUCGCCUUUCUGUCGAGGACGGGCUCCUGGGCUUAACUGUCCGGGACUCGGGCUCGACGAGGUUACUUUGAGUAAAUUAGAGUGUUCAAAGCAGGCGAUCGCCCUGAAUACAUUAGCAUGGAAUAGCACGAUAGGACUCUGGCCUAUCUUGCUGGUCUGUAGGACCGGAGUAAUGAUUAAGAGGGACAGUCGGGGGCAUUCGUAUUUCAUUGUCAGAGGUGAAAUUCUUGGAUUUAUGAAAGACGAACUUCUGCGAAAGCAUUUGCCAAGGAUGUUUUCA
Molecule: ribosomal RNA, 378 nt
Filed under: uncultured eukaryote
Lineage: Eukaryota
Description: SSU rRNA
Rfam family: Eukaryotic small subunit ribosomal RNA
Source: RNAcentral